UCAUAUAUUGUGGAUGGCAAUUCAUUAUUCUCGGGAAGAAUUUUCUUGACAAUUUUCAACAUCCCCUGAAAUGCCUUAUCGGACACACCAUUUUUGGCCUUCCAUUGCAUACAUUCUAGUGUAGUACCUAGUUUUUUAUGGCUCUGCUAGCAAUGUACAAUAAUUUUUGGUGAUCAUCUAUCAUGCGCUGCAACUUUGCUGCUUCCUUCUCAGUUUCGCAAUUUCUAUGUGUAUCCCGUAGCACCUGACCAAGGUCAUCAGUAGGGCCAUCUUCUGCAAACUCAUCUUCAUCAGCCUCACCCAUUGUAGUAUCUGCAAAAGCUUGGCCUGCAGCCCAAUCCGGAAUGUUGUCAUCAUCCUCCUCCUCUUCGCCAUCUUCC
Molecule: long non-coding RNA, 380 nt
Filed under: Setaria viridis
Lineage: Eukaryota; Viridiplantae; Streptophyta; Magnoliopsida; Poales; Poaceae
Description: long non-coding RNA (SVIR_LNC003291)
Source: RNAcentral